UACGUAGGGUGCGAGCGUUGUCCGGAAUUACUGGGCGUAAAGAGCUCGUAGGUGGUUUGUCGCGUUGUUCGUGAAAACUCACAGCUUAACUGUGGGCGUGCGGGCGAUACGGGCAGACUGGAGUACUGCAGGGGAGACUGGAAUUCCUGGUGUAGCGGUGGAAUGCGCAGAUAUCAGGAGGAACACCGGUGGCGAAGGCGGGUCUCUGGGCAGUAACUGACGCUGAGGAGCGAAAGCGUGGGGAGAGAACAGG
Molecule: ribosomal RNA, 253 nt
Filed under: uncultured bacterium
Lineage: Bacteria
Description: partial 16S ribosomal RNA
Rfam family: Bacterial small subunit ribosomal RNA
Source: RNAcentral